AAAAAAUUCUCCUCUCCAGACUGUCUAUAAGCUAGAGUUGCUCCCAUGUAAUUUAGAUGUAUGGCAUAUGAAAGGAAGCUUCCUAGGUGCAGCAUGCAGGAAAGCUAUUGUUUUCCCAAUAAAAUAUGUCUUUGUUCUUCAUUCUACUCUCUUCCUCCCAUCUGAGACAUGCACAUGACAUCUGGAGGUGGAGAAGUCACCUAUGGUCAAGAGGAUAAGAGCCAUACAGUAAAGAUGGCAGAACUGGAAGAUAGAAGGAAUUGGUCUAAUGAGUUCUUUAAGCAACUGCACCAACUUGAGACUGACUACCUCCAGAAUUCUUGUUACAGGGGGCAAGUGAGCUCAUAGUAGGAAGAAACUACAUGUUGGAACUGAACCAACAAUAUGUGUUUCUUUCUGCGGAUCAGCACAAUUUUGUAAGAGCUAAAAUGAUUCAAGCAGAUGUUCAUCAUGGGACUGCCAGCAAAAGGACUGAGAGUCACAAAGAUAAAUUCCAAUCCAGUGUUUGGAAAUCUCCCCACCACACUCAAGCGUCUUUUGAAGUGUAUCCUCCUUACUGUAUAAAUUUGAGGCCCCAUGUAACCUGGAUCCACACGGAGACCACUCCCAGGGCUUUGGCAGAGACCUAUGCACCUGGAGGACCCUGUCGCUAAAGUUCCUCUAGCUGCAAGAUAAUUAGACUGUUCUUUACCUGCCAUUGAAGGAAUGUCACUGUAAGCAGACACAAACUCCAUGGCAACGUGUAGAUCAGCACUUUCUCUGUCAAUACCUGGGAAAUGUCAUUUCUCUGAAAUUCUGCUAAGGAAUUUCUUCUCAGGAACAGAUUAGACAACUAGUGACCAAGGAAAUGUGUAAACAUGUUUAAACUGAAAAGCAUUAUUGGGUCAGCCAACUACUUAAGAAAGAACAGCCUUGGCAAAUGACAGAGAAUGAGAGAGGAAGACGUGCAGAUUUCCUCCCGGCCUUGAGAUGAGAGCAGCUUGGCUGGAGGACCCCAGCUGGGAAGUGGGGAAGCCUGACUGCUCUCCUUUCACCCAUGUCCUGGACAGCUCUGCAAAGGAUGGCGGAGUAUCAAAACAGGACCUAAUUCAAUUACCUGCCUUUUGUUUACUUCCAGUCGAAUGGUUAAUAUCAGCAAAAGCAUUUUUAUUACUUUAUGGAUAUGAAUGUAAAUUUGGUAUAAAAGACUGGCAGUUGACAAACCUGUUUACCUGGGAGUUUAGGGAUGAUUAAUCCUUGGUGCAUGUGUGCAUGCAUAUGUGUUUUAAAUAUUCUAUUCUCAAGUUUUUCUAAGAAAGCCUACAUUGACAUUUUUAAUACCAACUGUGAAGGAUCGUGAAAAAUUAGGCCAUUUUAAAUGAAAAUAAAUUCAGAAAUGGGAGAAUUACAUACGAGAUGGUUAAACUGCAUAAUGAAUAAUAAAUUAAAGGGAGCUUAUUGGUUAAAAGAAGUUGGAAGACUGAAGAAUCUCCAAGGUCCACUCAAGUCUAUGUUUCCUUGAGCAACAAAACAAGAAAAGAUUGAGGAAAUUCAGAGGCAAAAAAAAACCAGAGUUCAACUUAAAAAAAAAUUCUAAAGUGCUCUUCAAAAUAUUUCACUAUAAUGACAUAGAAGGCUAUGGUGUGCUUGAUAGGUAAAUGGUGAAAAUGGUGAUCUGUUUGUAAGGAAGCAAAAAAUACAUGCCUUAGGGAAGUUAUGGAACCGAAGAGAAAAAUGUAAGAAUACCUCGGCAAAAAUACACAUGGGUGGAACAUCAUUAGAAGAAUUAUGUUAGAAGCAGGCAUUUAAAAACCCCAGAGAAAUGGAUGAUAGGAGAAUUCACAGUAAAAAUAAUUAGGGGCUUCUGGGUGGCUCAGUGGGUUUAGUUAAGCAUCU
Callorhinus ursinus (northern fur seal) is the source of this 1875-nucleotide non-coding RNA. The record is from RefSeq and is a predicted model, not a curated record. Lineage: Eukaryota; Metazoa; Chordata; Mammalia; Carnivora; Otariidae.